This is a long non-coding RNA of Xenia sp. Carnegie-2017, 1017 nucleotides long. RefSeq lists it as uncharacterized. NCBI's taxonomy places the organism in Eukaryota, Metazoa, Cnidaria, Anthozoa, Malacalcyonacea, Xeniidae. The transcript is spliced from 5 exons. The record is from RefSeq and is a predicted model, not a curated record.
AUCGUAAUUCUGCAAAAUCUCAAGAUUUGUCUUGUAACCUAGCAACCGCCUUUUCUCGCACAUUUCAAUGCAUACUCACGUGAUUUCUCCACGUAUUCCGCCUAUCUUCAGAGGACGGAACCAUUGAGUUCUAUAAUAACUGGAGCGGCUAGAUCUCAAAAGAUGAUUCAAGUUUGUUUUUGCGUUUGAAUUUCGUAUCAGAGUAAUCAUGUAGACGUAUUUACAUGACUUGUGAAAAUUUUUAGCCAGAAGAAUCAUCGCAAAGUUAUGUCUUUUGGACUGACAAGUGACCAAAGAUCUACUGUUGGUACAUUCACAGGACCAAAUUCCGGCACAGUACCCCCAAGACACUGUCUUUCUGUAAAUGCAUUUAUUCGUUGUCUUGGAGUCAGAAACAAUGAAUUCUCGUUUUGCAAUGAAUCACUGACCUUUCUUGUUGUUCCAAGUUGUUGAUUGGCGGUACUUCAGUUCUUUCUUGUGAUGCCUGGAUUUCUUCUGUUUCACUCUCAUACAACAAUUCUUGCUCAACUGGCUCUUCAAGUGCAUUCUGGGACGUAAAUUAUUCAAGCCAUUGUCCAAUGUUAUAAAAACGAUGUUUCCAUAGUGUUGUGGGAGGGCUGUGAAAUGCCAUUCUUCAAAGUUUUGUCUGAUGAGCUUUUAACGCAGAAAUCACCGUUGCUAUUGUCGAUGCAAUCAACAUCAUUAUCGCGAAAUUCGCGCGAUGCGAAUGAACUUUUCAUACAGUGCUUGAUAAAGUGGUUUGGACGAUUAUGCAAAUAGUAUGGAACAUUCUCGUUGCAUUUUCUGUAUUGGCUGCUUUGUUUGAAGUUGAUGUCUUUGUAGUGCUGAUAAGAGUCUGGAAGAAAUGACUCUACCAUUGUUGUAACUACACCAUAUCUUGAUUUUUCUCAACAAUUACGAAGAUAUUUUUCAUAAUGCAAGUGCAUUGAAGAUGAAAUACUCAUAUCAAACAUGAAAUUGUUUACCAAUUAUUAUUAAACAUAACUUGUCAAUGUC